GGUCCCAGUCUCGAACUGGUGUCACUGGGAGAGCCCCAGUCCCAAACUGGGAGGGUCUGAGGUUCAAACUGGGAGCACUGGGAGGGUCCCAGUCCCAAACUGGGAGGGUCCAAGGCUCAAACUGGGAGCACUGGGAGGGUCCCAGUCCCAAACUGGGAGCACUGGGAAGGUCUCAGUCCCAAACUGGGAGCGUCCCAGUCCCAAACUGGGAGCACUGGAGGGUCCCAAUCCCAGACUGGGAGCACUGGGAGGGUCCCAGUCCCAGACUGGUGUCACUGGGGUGUCACUGGGAGGGUCCCAGUCUCAAACUGGGAGGGUGCCAGGUUCAAACUGGGAGCACUGGGAGGGUUCCAGUCCCAAACUGGGAGGGUCCAAGGUUCAAACUGGGAGAGUCCCAGUCCCAGACUGGUGUCACAGGGGUGUCACUGGUGUCACUGGUCCGUUACUGGUGUCACUGGUGCUGUCCCUGGCUCUGUCCAUGGCUCUGUUACUGGUGUUACUGGUGUCACUGGUGUGUCACUGGUGUUACUGGUGUUACUGGUGUCACUGGUCCGUUACUGGUGUCACUGGUGCUGUCCCUGUCCCUAUCCCUGUCCCUGGUGUCAACUGGUGUCACUGGUGUCACUGGUCCGUUACUGGUGUCACUGGUGCUGUCCCUGCUGUCCCUGUCCCUGGUGUCACUGGUGCCGUUACUGGUGCCGUUACUGGUGUUACUGGUGUCACUGGUGCCGUUACUGGUGUCACUGGUGUCCCUGUCCCUGGCCGAGCCGCGCGGCCUCGCUGCGGAUCAGCGCGAUCAGUUCGUGGUUGAUGAGGAACACGAAGCGCAGGCUGGCGAUCUGGGGGGGCACGGCC
Molecule: long non-coding RNA, 855 nt
Filed under: Parus major (Great Tit)
Lineage: Eukaryota; Metazoa; Chordata; Aves; Passeriformes; Paridae
Description: lncRNA (ENSPMJG00000002114.1)
Source: RNAcentral